This 547-nucleotide ribosomal RNA is filed under the name uncultured bacterium. Its description in RNAcentral is "bacterial SSU rRNA". It matches the Rfam family "Bacterial small subunit ribosomal RNA", at positions 356 to 896 of the family's 1533-position model. The record is from RNAcentral.
UGGGGAAUUUGGACAUGGGCGAAAGCCUGAUCCAGCCAUGCCGCGUGUGUGAAGAAGGCCUUCGGGUUGUAAAGCACUUUCAGUGGGGAAGAAAGCCUUGGGGYUAAUACCCUCGAGGAAGGACAUCACCCACAGAAGAAGCACCGGCUAACUCCGUGCCAGCAGCCGCGGUAAUACGGAGGGUGCGAGCGUUAAUCGGAAUUACUGGGCGUAAAGCGCGCGUAGGCGGUCUGAUAAGCCGGUUGUGAAAGCCCCGGGCUCAACCUGGGAACGGCAUCCGGAACUGUCAGGCUARAGUGCAGGARAGGAAGGUAGAAUUCCCGGUGUAGCGGUGAAAUGCGUAAAGAUCGGGAGGAAUACCAGUGGCGAAGGCGGCCUUCUGGACUGACACUGACGCUGAGGUGCGAAAGCGUGGGUAGCAAACAGGAUUARAUACCCUGGUAGUCCANGCCGUAAACGAUGUCACUUAGCCGUUGGGGUCUUUAAGACCUUUGKGGCGCAGUUAACGCAWUAAGUCGACCGCCUGGGGAGUACGGCCGCAAGGUUA